UUAUUUUUUUUAUUUUUUUUUUAAGAGGGUUACAUCGUAGCUAGAUUAAGAAAGUGUUUAACCUAACUUAUGAAAAAUUAACUUAUAAGUAUAAGCUAAUUUCAUAGUUAUUAAAGGUUCACAGCACACCAAGGCAUAAUAUAAUGUUUUUAUAUGCAAUUAAUAUUUAUUUUUAUUUUAUAGCACCACAAUUAAAUUACAUAUAUG
RNAcentral lists this unclassified non-coding RNA (207 nucleotides) under Hevea brasiliensis (rubber tree). Lineage: Eukaryota; Viridiplantae; Streptophyta; Magnoliopsida; Malpighiales; Euphorbiaceae. The record is from RNAcentral.